Xenopus tropicalis (tropical clawed frog) is the source of this 653-nucleotide long non-coding RNA. RefSeq lists it as uncharacterized. The transcript is spliced from 4 exons. The record is from RefSeq and is a predicted model, not a curated record. NCBI's taxonomy places the organism in Eukaryota, Metazoa, Chordata, Amphibia, Anura, Pipidae.
ACCCCCAAGUGACUUUGACUUUAUUUUUCCUUUAAAUACUCCACCCACUGAGCUGCUUUUGGCUCAGACAGAGGAGCAUGCGGAAUACUCCAGGCACGGCACGUUAAGGGUCAGGAGAAGGCAAAUCCAAAUAUGAAGAAGACAUUCUUAUCAACAAUCACACAUAGAAUCCUGACAUCUGUGAAAAGGACUUGAUGCCCACAGAAGAGAAAAUGACCCAGCCAAAAACACUGGUACAGAUUCAUCAACAAAAACUGAAAGUAAAAAAAGAAGAAAAAGUGGAGAUUCUGACAGUGACAAUGACGAAAAGAAAAAAAGGACAAGCUAAAAAAGCAAACGAAGGCAUCCAACACAGAAGAGGGGCCGCCUUAAAUGGGCAGAAGAAAUGAUGCAGUUGGACGAGAGGAAGAGGGGGUAUGAGACUCGGGAGCCGAGUGAGGAAGAAAUGGAGGCUUACAGAAUGAAAAGACAGAAUGACUCCAUGGCCUCUUUCCUUGGAAUGAAUUGGGUUCUGCCCACUCAUAUCUGUGUAACUGAGCUGCAUUGCUUUAUAUUUCUUCCAUCUCUAAAUGUCAGCAUCAUGUGUAUAUUUCCUGUCUAUGGCUGCCAUUUAGAGUGAUCUGUAAAAUAAAAUGUUUUAUGGUUAAGUAUAA